Molecule: ribosomal RNA, 493 nt
Filed under: uncultured bacterium
Lineage: Bacteria
Description: bacterial SSU rRNA
Rfam family: Bacterial small subunit ribosomal RNA
Source: RNAcentral
GAUGAACGCUAGCGGAAGGCUUAAUACAUGCAAGUCGAGCGGUAGGUGGCUUCGGCCAUUGAGAGCGGCGCACGGGUGAGUAACGCGUACAUGACCUGCCUGUCAGAAGGGGAUAGCCCUGGGAAACUGGGAUUAAUACCCUAUGGUAUUGAUAUUAUGAAUGAUAUCAAUUAAAGUUGAGGCGCUGACAGAUGGAUGUGCGUCUGAUUAGCUAGUUGGUAGGGUAACGGCCUACCAAGGCGACGAUCAGUAGGGGGCGUGAGAGCGUGGUCCCCCACACGGGUACUGAGACACGGACCCGACUCCUACGGGAGGCAGCAGUAAGGAAUAUUGGUCAAUGCCCGCAAGGGUGAACCAGCCAUUCCGCGUGGAGGAUGGAGGCCCUAUGGGUUGUAAACUUCUUUUAGAUGGGAAGAAAAUGCUAGAUGUAUCUGGUACUGACGGUACCAUCAGAAUAAGCACCGGCUAACUCCGUGCCAGCAGCCGCGGUAAU